AGAGUUUGAUCCUGGCUCAGGACGAACGCUGGCGGCGUGCUUAACACAUGCAAGUCGAGCGGAAAGGCCCUUCGGGGUACUCGAGUGGCGAACGGGUGAGUAACACGUGGGUGAUCUGCCCUGCACUCUGGGAUAAGCCUGGGAAACUGGGUCUAAUACCGGAUAGGACCGCAUGCUUCAUGGUGUGUGGUGCAAAGCUUUUGCGGUGUGGGACGAGCCCGCGGCCUAUCAGCUUGUUGGUGGGGUAAUGGCCUACCAAGGCGACGACGGGUAGCCGGCCUGAGAGGGUGACCGGCCACACUGGGACUGAGAUACGGCCCAGACUCCUACGGGAGGCAGCAGUGGGGAAUAUUGCACAAUGGGCGCAAGCCUGAUGCAGCGACGCCGCGUGAGGGAUGACGGCCUUCGGGUUGUAAACCUCUUUCAGUAGGGACGAAGCGAAAGUGACGGUACCUACAGAAGAAGGACCGGCCAACUACGUGCCAGCAGCCGCGGUAAUACGUAGGGUCCGAGCGUUGUCCGGAAUUACUGGGCGUAAAGAGCUCGUAGGUGGUUUGUCGCGUUGUUCGUGAAAACUCACAGCUUAACUGUGGGCGUGCGGGCGAUACGGGCAGACUAGAGUACUGCAGGGGAGACUGGAAUUCCUGGUGUAGCGGUGGAAUGCGCAGAUAUCAGGAGGAACACCGGUGGCGAAGGCGGGUCUCUGGGCAGUAACUGACGCUGAGGAGCGAAAGCGUGGGUAGCGAACAGGAUUAGAUACCCUGGUAGUCCAA
RNAcentral lists this ribosomal RNA (773 nucleotides) under uncultured bacterium. Its description in RNAcentral is "bacterial SSU rRNA". It matches the Rfam family "Bacterial small subunit ribosomal RNA", at positions 8 to 798 of the family's 1533-position model. The record is from RNAcentral.